GUGAACGUGCACCUGAAAGAGCUCCCAGAUUAGAAGAUAAAUAAUAACGAAAUACUUUUGAAAAGUCAAUACUUUACAUCUAGUUAUAUCCAUAAGAUAUUAGUCUACCUCAAACUCAACUUUGAAUACGAAAGAAAAGUGAUUCUGUCGAGUUUACAGCAAAUUGGAACUCCGAUUGGUUUUUUUGAACGACCAGAUCAGAUUUGGAUCCCAGAUGGCGAGCCCAGCCCAGUGAGACUGAGAACGAUCGUGGAAGCGGUGUGGCCAACCGUACGAUUUGUCUCAGAGAAACCCAAGAUUUGUUCAUUCGUUCAUCGAACACCAGAUAAGAUUUUCCACACUGUUGACUCAACACAGUAGUCAUAUCUGCACACAUUCAAGGAACUGAACUUUGUGAAUCGAUACACACACACGUUCAAGGAACUGAACUUUAGGAAUCAAUACACUUUUCAUACAGGAACUGAUAUACACUUUUCAUACAGGAAUUGAACUCUCUUGAAUCAGUGCAUACAGGAAUAAGGGGCUUGAAUUCUAAGUUUCCUUUGAUUUUCAUAUUUUAUUUGUUUGAAGAGCUCUUCGUUAUCAUUUCAUUUAUAUUUUGCCCAUUCAAUGCUGUGUAACCACACUGCUGUUUUGGAGGCAAUAUAACGGUCAAUUGUUCAACUUA
Long non-coding RNA from Alosa alosa (allis shad), 667 nucleotides. RefSeq lists it as uncharacterized. The transcript is spliced from 2 exons. NCBI's taxonomy places the organism in Eukaryota, Metazoa, Chordata, Actinopteri, Clupeiformes, Clupeidae. The record is from RefSeq and is a predicted model, not a curated record.